Neurospora crassa OR74A is the source of this 87-nucleotide transfer RNA. It matches the Rfam family "tRNA". From Rfam's summary of the family: Transfer RNA (tRNA) molecules are approximately 80 nucleotides in length. Their secondary structure includes four short double-helical elements and three loops (D, anti-codon, and T loops). The record is from Rfam. Lineage: Eukaryota; Fungi; Ascomycota; Sordariomycetes; Sordariales; Sordariaceae.
GGUGGGAUAGCUCAGUUGGGAAGAUCUGAGCUUGGCCCCCUUUCGGUUUCAUCCGAAAGGUCGUGGGUUCGAAUCCCGCUCCCCCCC